Molecule: long non-coding RNA, 297 nt
Organism: Drosophila virilis
Lineage: Eukaryota; Metazoa; Arthropoda; Insecta; Diptera; Drosophilidae
Source: RefSeq, a predicted model, not a curated record
AGCUGUGAAUUUACAGUCAAAUUUUACGAAAAGUUUUUGGAAACUGUAUUGAAACUAAAUUAGAAAUUUGGAUGAAUACAUUUCGAUCACUAAAUUUUUAAGUACCACAUACCAAUAUUCGUUCGAACGUGGGAUUGGCCAAACCAAUAAGGAAGCAAAUUAUAGGCUUAAGCAAACGCUGGAAAUCUGGUGCAAGGCUGUUGAAGGCAAAGAGAAUUGCUUUACAUAUAAUUUAAUGACGUUUAAUUCUGUAUUUCCCAUAAGUUUUACAUAAGAUACCAGUUAAAAUACUGUAAA